CCUUAUUCAGAGCAGCUGAGGGAACAGGCCCUGUGAAGCUCGGCAACCUGCCUUCGGGCAAGGUGCUAAAUCCUGCGGUAUUGACCGAAAGAUAAGG
Molecule: non-coding RNA, 97 nt
Filed under: bovine gut metagenome
Description: SAM riboswitch (S box leader)
Rfam family: SAM riboswitch aptamer (S box leader)
About the family: The SAM riboswitch is found upstream of a number of genes which code for proteins involved in methionine or cysteine biosynthesis in Gram-positive bacteria. The SAM riboswitch acts at the level of transcription termination control.
Source: RNAcentral